AUACGGAGGGUGCAAGCGUUACUCGGAAUCACUGGGCGUAAAGCGCGCGCAGGCGGCUUGGUAAGUUGGAUGUGAAAGCCUACGGCUCAACCGUAGAACUGCAUCCAAAACUGUCAAGCUAGAGUGUGGGAGAGGAAGAUGGAAUUAGUUGUGUAGGGGUAAAAUCCGUAGAGAUAACUAGGAAUACCAAAAGCGAAGGCAAUCUUCUGGAACACUACUGACGCUGAGGCGCGAAAGCGUGGGGAGCAAACAGGAUUAGAAACCCUAGUAGUCC
Molecule: ribosomal RNA, 274 nt
Filed under: uncultured bacterium
Lineage: Bacteria
Description: partial 16S ribosomal RNA
Rfam family: Bacterial small subunit ribosomal RNA
Source: RNAcentral